Molecule: long non-coding RNA, 163 nt
Organism: Thalassophryne amazonica
Lineage: Eukaryota; Metazoa; Chordata; Actinopteri; Batrachoidiformes; Batrachoididae
Exons: 3
Source: RefSeq, a predicted model, not a curated record
GUAUGUGUGUAUGUGUUUUACACGGGGCGGUAGAGAGGAAUGCUACUAAUGUUUUAUCAGUCUGUCAAUGAAGAGCUCCCAACCUAAUUCUGGAAAACACUGUUUUUGUUUGUUCUGCAGCAGAAAGCGAUUUCUGCCACUGUUACGUCUGCCUUGAAGAGGU